This 140-nucleotide long non-coding RNA is filed under the name Fukomys damarensis (Damara mole-rat). RNAcentral's name for it is "lncRNA (ENSFDAG00000026511.1)". The record is from RNAcentral. Lineage: Eukaryota; Metazoa; Chordata; Mammalia; Rodentia; Bathyergidae.
GAGAUCCUAUAAUGCCCCUGUCUGUGGAUAUUACCAACUCCUAUGAGUACCCUGGGUAACACAGGACUUCAUGGGCCCAGAAGUUAAUCCUCUGUGAACAAGUGAUCUCCUAGACCUAUGCAAGAAGGUAAGACAUCAGU